CUCUCGGCAAAUUAUCCUCAUAAGUUUGACGAUAAGAGGAACCACUUAUGAUCAAAGCUUAAUAUCUUUCCUUUAUCUAAGCUACGCUAAUAAGGGUUAGAUAUUAGGCUUCCAUAGGGUGGUGUCACAAAAUCGGAGGCCACGACUGUUUACUAAAAACACAAUUCAGAGCAAUGAUGCAAAUCAUAGUAUUCUGGAUGAAAUUUGCCCGAUGCCAUUAACAUAAAAGAGGUAAUGGGAUAACUGUUACUAAUUGAAAGUCUGGUUAAUAGCGGUCUUAACUAUGAGGAUCCUAAGGUAGCAAAAUCAGUUGGCCAUUAAAUGUGGUCUGGUAUCAAUAGUGUAACGAUGGUCUCACUGUCUCUACAACUUGCUCAGUGAAAUUGAAUUAUCCGUGCAGAUGCGGAUUGCCUCCAGG
This 418-nucleotide ribosomal RNA is filed under the name Thelephoroid sp. E138gn. Its description in RNAcentral is "LSU rRNA". It matches the Rfam family "Bacterial large subunit ribosomal RNA", at positions 1711 to 2076 of the family's 2925-position model. Lineage: Eukaryota; Fungi; Basidiomycota; Agaricomycetes; Thelephorales; Thelephoraceae. The record is from RNAcentral.